UGUUGGAGCUGAGAGCAACUAACAGCAAGUUUCAGCAAGAAACUUGAGUAGCAAGUGUCGUGACUUGCAGCAAAAACAAGCAGAAAACAAAGUAGAAUUUUUAAAGUAAAGCAAAAAAAAUGAAGAAAGUUUUUGAAUGAAAACUUGAUUACAUUCAUUCAUCAUCAGAAUGGCUUGAAGCCAAUACAUAAAUCAAGCUUCUAGCUUGUCAAAAUAGUAGGUUAACCAAAACAAUACCUACCACCACUAAGUUUCCUAGUAAAUUGGAAUAAUAACUUGUACAAAUGAAUAAAG
This 294-nucleotide long non-coding RNA is filed under the name Gossypium raimondii (Peruvian cotton). RNAcentral's name for it is "long non-coding RNA (GRAI_LNC000995)". The record is from RNAcentral. Lineage: Eukaryota; Viridiplantae; Streptophyta; Magnoliopsida; Malvales; Malvaceae.